ACGUUCAAACUGAUCAGCGUCUCUCACUUACGCACACCUUCUCACACUUCACGGUCAUUCGGGGAAUGUCUGUAACUACUCACAUGAUUGCUCUAUGACCAGAAGCGCGGGGGCAGGCACGCAUACGGCCCAGAGUGUAGAGGUUAGAAUGAUUCUUCGGUUUAUGUGCGGGAAAAAAAAUGCAUUUCAUGGAAAUUGGAAGUGAACUGCAAAUAACCCAAUAGGCCUACACUGUCAUUCAUUCUAAACAGUUUUAUUUUAGUUGGAUCAAAUGAUUUUAGAAUAUAGCCUACUGUGGCGGCGUUAAGGGGACGACCAGACGAGAGAGCCCAGGGUAUUGUAUGCUAUUGUAACGUAUAUCACAUGAUAUUACAUUACAUAUUUAAUUUCAAACCAAGACAUUUGUACCUGCCAUAAAAAUGACAGAGAGGGAAAUGCUGUUGGCUAUGACGUUGAAUGAAAUUAAAGAAAGAUCUGCCUCAAGCACAAUUUAGGACUGACGUUGCAGAUAAAUAUCUAAACAAUUGGGGCUAAAUCCAGACCAUGUAGCCUACCACUCAAUGGAUCGGGCCUAACGUGUGGACGCCAGAUCGUCCCAUUUCUUUUUGGUCCAGCCCUCCCCCCUUUCCCUUGCGUCUCACCCACACUCUGCCUAUCAACAAGAACUUUUCAAGGGAGCAUGCAUGCAGCCCAUAACCGGCUGGACGGUGAACCACGACGCCUGCCAAGGACACCUUGCGUUGUAAUAGAUUAGAUGCAAACAGGCGAAUUGUUUUCUUUUAUACUACAAUUAUCUUGGGGGCCACACACGGAAAUGACAGCCCAGCAAGUAUUCGCUCCUUAGCCAGGACAACUAUUUUCUACAUCAUAGAAACACUGCCAGCAGACAGGUAGUCUAUGAAGGAUUCGUAAGAAUAUCAAAACGAGCGGCAGAUAUGGAGGGGCAACAACGCAGGGGUCCGUCCUCCAGACGGUACAUGAGACGGAAGAGGCGGGACAUGAUGCAUGUGCAGGUGUGUCUGGUGCUCGGAGUCCUUGGGAUCACCUGGGGAGUGUCUGCCCUGACUGACGUGUCUAGGUUACAUCUUGAGUCAUUCCCAGGAGCGUCUCUUGACCAAUCUCAACGCAGGAAGCUUUUGGCUGUCGCCAAUGGCACCCUUGAGAUCAACUGCACUGAGCCAGGUAUAAUACACACACACACACACACACACA
Gadus morhua (Atlantic cod) is the source of this 1212-nucleotide long non-coding RNA. RefSeq lists it as uncharacterized. NCBI's taxonomy places the organism in Eukaryota, Metazoa, Chordata, Actinopteri, Gadiformes, Gadidae. The transcript is spliced from 3 exons. The record is from RefSeq and is a predicted model, not a curated record.